This is a long non-coding RNA of Phlebotomus papatasi, 1679 nucleotides long. RefSeq lists it as uncharacterized. The record is from RefSeq and is a predicted model, not a curated record. The transcript is spliced from 6 exons. NCBI's taxonomy places the organism in Eukaryota, Metazoa, Arthropoda, Insecta, Diptera, Psychodidae.
CCAUCUAGUGGUUGACAUUGGCGUAAAUUCCACUUUCGAAAUGUUGCGUUAUUUGCAAGACAAAGACCCCACUCUCUGCUAACGGUAUUUCUCUUUUUUGGAUGAAAAUGGGAAUCGCAGAGACAGGAAAAAUAGUGUCUAGUCUAGUGAAAAGGGCUGAAAAAAUGAGUUGGAAUAGUGCAAGUGUUUAGUGUGAUAUUUAGAAACGACCGACAAACCACAUAGAAAUAGAACGUCCGAGGAAAAAAGCAAUGUUGCAGUGGGGGAAGACGAAAAUCCCAAUUUGUGACUGAAGUUUAUAUAAUAUUCAUGCGGAGGAGCAAAUAGUUAUCGUCAUAACUUUGAUAGCUAAUCCCUUUUAAACCCUUUAAGCCUCGAUAGAUCACGACGUCCUUGGGAAGACUCAGGGGCUUGUUCUUCAAGGAAUAGGGGAUAUAUUUGGUUCAUGCUCCUCUCUCCUGAUCCAUGGUACUGCUUUAUGGUCUCCAUGGCCCUCGUUAUGGCUCCCCUGCUCCCGGAUCCACGAAUUCCUUUUCCGACAAAGCUGUUUUUUCUGCUCCCUGAAGCUAAGCUUCAGUCACAAAUUGGGAUUUUCGUCUCCCACGGCUACAGCAUAUUUCUCUCAAUAAACCUCGAGCCCAUCUCCACCUACUAGACGACCACUGGCUGUUACUCAGAGCACCAUCAAGGUCACCAUAAAGUUGGUGAUCAGGAAGCCAAAGGAGAACCUCUCGCCAUUCCUUUACAAUCUCGUCAACAAAGUCAUGAGGGCGCACAAAUUUGAUCCCGCGAAGGCCAAGCUAGAGGCGACACAUGACAAAAUCGCAUUGUAUUGAAAAGUUGUGAAAAAAAUUGAUUGCUGUGGUGUGGUGGUCAGGAGUGCCAGGGAGCACCCCACAUCCACAUCAGUAACGAACAGUGAAAGUGUAGAGAGCCAUGGAACAUUCGAAGAGAAAAACAGUCUGAGAAGACAAAUCUCACUCAGGAUUCCCGAGAGGAUACACUGAGGACUUCCUCCCUUGGACGUUGGCGAAUUAUUAGGCUGGCCACAUGGAGAGGGAACAGCAGAAACUUGUCGGCAAAGCAGAUAUGCAGCACUUUGCGUGGAUCCGGGAGCGGGGAAGCCAUGAAGAGGGCCAUAGGCACCAUCAGGCAGCACCAUGGAUCAGAAGAGAAGAGUAGGAUCAAAUGUGUGCCAUAUCCCUUGAAGAACAAGCCCGGAAGCUCCUAAUUUUCGUGAGGUGUCGAGACUCCAAGCAGCUUUCUUCUCCAUCGGCUACAACAUCUUCACCAAAAAGCUGUAGCUCAUCUCUACCUACCAGACCACUCAGGUUGCCACCCAGCAGGACACCAUCAAGCAGUUUGAUCCCAUGAAGGCCAAGCUCGCUGCAAUUGCAAAGUACCUCUGCCACCUUCGACAGCGGAAGCCGUUGGUAGGAAUAGCACCUCAGCAUCUCAGCAUUUUUCAGAAAACGUGUGUUCUAAGUGCCAAAGGAAGAAUAUAAUUUUGAAGGUAUAAUACAAAUACGAUUAAAAUUUAGAUUUUGUAUGUAAAAACAAUGCAAAAAAAUGUACCGCCCACAGGAUUUGAAUAGUCGGAUACUAAAAAUAAUAUGUUAAAGCGGGUGUUAAAGGAAAGCAAUUGUUCAGCUCGGAAAACAAUUGCAGGGUUUUGAAAU